UACAGAGGGUGCGAGCGUUGUUCGGAAUUAUUGGGCGUAAAGGGCGCGUAGGCGGUGCGGUAAGUCACCUGUGAAAUCUCCUGGCUUAACUGGGAGCCUGCAGGCGAAACUACCGUGCUGGAGGGUGGUAGAGGCGAGUGGAAUUCCCGGUGUAGCGGUGAAAUGCGCAGAUAUCGGGAGGAACACCAGUAGCGAAGGCGGCUCGCUGGGCCACACCUGACGCUGAGACGCGAAAGCUAGGGGAGCGAACAGG
This 253-nucleotide ribosomal RNA is filed under the name uncultured bacterium. RNAcentral describes it as "partial 16S ribosomal RNA". It matches the Rfam family "Bacterial small subunit ribosomal RNA", at positions 524 to 776 of the family's 1533-position model. The record is from RNAcentral.